UCUCCGUUGGUGAACCAGCGGGGGGAUCAUUACCGAGUUUACAACUCCCAAACCCCUAUGUGAACGUUACCAAACUGUUGCCUCGGCGGGAAAUUCAUGCCCCGGGCGCGUCGCAGCCCCGGACCAAGGCGCCCGCCGGAGGACCAACCAAAACUCUUUUGUAUGUCCCUCGCGGACUUUUAUAAUUCUGAACCAUCUCGGCGCCCCUAGCGGGCGUUUCGAAAAUGAAUCAAAACUUUCAACAACGGAUCUCUUGGUUCUG
Molecule: unclassified non-coding RNA, 262 nt
Filed under: plant metagenome
Description: partial contains small subunit ribosomal RNA, internal transcribed spacer 1, and 5.8S ribosomal RNA
Source: RNAcentral